AGUUAAAAUUUUUAUCCAUUUGUAUUGUUAAAAAUUGACUUAGCUGAUAGAAUAAUCAGAUAGUAACACAUAACGUGCCACAUGUACCUCAUAUUGAUGUCUAAGAACUAGUUUUUAAUUGUAGAAAUGCAUGAAAAUUUAACA
Molecule: microRNA precursor, 144 nt
Filed under: Gossypium arboreum
Lineage: Eukaryota; Viridiplantae; Streptophyta; Magnoliopsida; Malvales; Malvaceae
Description: MIR7502 microRNA precursor family
Rfam family: MIR7502 microRNA precursor family
Source: Rfam by way of RNAcentral